AUGGAGCACUCUGAUCCAGCCAUGCCGCGUGUAGGAAGACUGCCCUAUGGGUUGUAAACUACUUUUAUAGAGGAAGAAAUGGCACUACGUGUAGUGUUUUGACGGUACUCUACGAAUAAGGAUCGGCUAACUCCGUGCCAGCAGCCGCGGUAAUACGGAGGAUCCAAGCGUUAUCCGGAAUCAUUGGGUUUAAAGGGUCCGUAGGCGGGUUUGUAAGUCAGUGGUGAAAGUUUUCGGCUCAACCGGAAAAUUGCCAUUGAUACUGCAAGUCUUGAAUCAUUGUGAAGUGGUUAGAAUGUGUAGUGUAGCGGUGAAAUGCAUAGAUAUUACACAGAAU
This 337-nucleotide ribosomal RNA is filed under the name uncultured prokaryote. Its description in RNAcentral is "bacterial SSU rRNA". It matches the Rfam family "Bacterial small subunit ribosomal RNA", at positions 371 to 707 of the family's 1533-position model. The record is from RNAcentral.